GUGCAGCCAGUUUACACAAUCAGGCUGAUCCAGACGUUGCAGCACGACCACCAAGCCAACAGUGGCAGGAUUUUACCUAAUAUGCAAAAUGCAACAUUCACAAGACUCUUACAGACAUGUAGACACAUUAUUGACACGUUUAUCCAGCUGGGUGGAUUUUAUUUGGGACAUCAGUGAUUUAAUGUUCGACAAGUUGGUGGUAUAAGGAGAAGUUGGUUUAUGAGAUAAUUGUAAGGAAAUAUACAACAUAAGGAGAUUUUUCUUCAACUUUCAAACUCCUCUCAUCCUGAAUUCAUCAGUGAGAAGAAGCUGGAAAUACAAAACCAUCCCAGAACUGUUUGGUGAGACCUUGGACUGCAGGCGGUAGACCCAUCUGGUCAUAGCUGAC
Long non-coding RNA from Fundulus heteroclitus (mummichog), 388 nucleotides. RefSeq lists it as uncharacterized. The record is from RefSeq and is a predicted model, not a curated record. NCBI's taxonomy places the organism in Eukaryota, Metazoa, Chordata, Actinopteri, Cyprinodontiformes, Fundulidae. The transcript has 3 exons.